RNAcentral lists this ribosomal RNA (422 nucleotides) under uncultured bacterium. RNAcentral describes it as "bacterial SSU rRNA". It matches the Rfam family "Bacterial small subunit ribosomal RNA", at positions 355 to 774 of the family's 1533-position model. The record is from RNAcentral.
UGAGGAAUAUUGGACAAUGGAUGGAAAUCUGAUCCAGCCAUGCCGCGUGCAGGAAGACGGCCCUAUGGGUUGUAAACUGCUUUUGUAUGGGAGCAAUAAGGACUACGUGUAGUUUGAUGAGAGUACCAUACGAAUAAGCAUCGGCUAACUCCGUGCCAGCAGCCGCGGUAAUACGUAGGGGGCAAGCGUUGUCCGGAUUUACUGGGUGUAAAGGGUGCUCAGGCGGAUUUGUAAGUCAGAGGUGAAAUCUUACAGCUUAACUGUGAAACUGCCUUUGNUACUGCAAGCCUAGAGUAUGGAAGAGAGUGAUGGAAUAUCUGGUGUAGCAGUGAAAUGCGUAGAUAUCAGAUAGAACACCAAUGGCGAAGGCAGUCACUUGGUCCAUUACUGACGCUAAAGCACGAAAGCGUGGGUAGCAAACA